This 303-nucleotide ribosomal RNA is filed under the name Pseudo-nitzschia pungens. RNAcentral's name for it is "partial Bacterial small subunit ribosomal RNA". It matches the Rfam family "Bacterial small subunit ribosomal RNA", at positions 488 to 790 of the family's 1533-position model. Lineage: Eukaryota; Bacillariophyta; Bacillariophyceae; Bacillariales; Bacillariaceae. The record is from RNAcentral.
AAGCAUCGGCUAACUCCGUGCUAGCAGCCGCGGUAAUACGGAGGAUCCAAGCGUUAUCCGGAAUCAUUGGGUUUAAAGGGUCCGUAGGCGGACUAUUAAGUCAGGGGUGAAAGUCUGCAGCUCAACUGUAGAAUUGCCUUUGAUACUGGUAGUCUUGAGUUAUGGUGAAGUGGCUAGAAUAUGUAGUGUAGCGGUGAAAUGCAUAGAUAUUACAUAGAAUACCGAUUGCGAAGGCAGGUCACUAACCAUACACUGACGCUGAUGGACGAAAGCGUGGGGAGCGAACAGGAUUAGAUACCCUGG